RNAcentral lists this ribosomal RNA (407 nucleotides) under uncultured bacterium. RNAcentral describes it as "bacterial SSU rRNA". It matches the Rfam family "Bacterial small subunit ribosomal RNA", at positions 64 to 507 of the family's 1533-position model. The record is from RNAcentral.
GAACGCCCCUUCGGGGGAGUGGCGGACGGGUGAGUAACGCGUGGGAACGUGCCCUUUGGUUCGGAACAACACAGGGAAACUUGUGCUAAUACCGAAUGUGCCCUUCGGGGGAAAGAUUUAUCGCCAUUGGAGCGGCCCGCGUUGGAUUAGCUAGUUGGUGGGGUAAAGGCCCACCAAGGCUACGAUCCAUAGCUGGUCUGAGAGGAUGAUCAGCCACACUGGGACUGAGACACGGCCCAGACUCCUACGGGAGGCAGCAGUAGGGAAUCUUGCGCAAUGGGCGAAAGCCUGACGCAGCGACGCCGCGUGGGGGAUGAAGCUUCUCGGAGUGUANACCCCUUUCGACCCGGACGAACCCCCGCNAGGGAUGACGGGUACGGGUAUAAUAAACCCCGCUACUAUACAUG